GAUGAAUGCUGGCGGCGUGCCUAACACAUGCAAGUCGAGCGGCAGCGAGUUUUACACUGAAUUCUGGAAGCUUCUGAGUAGUACAGAAGAUUUAUUCAAGAGUUUUGUGUAAAAUGUCGGCGAGCGGCGGACGGCUGAGUAACGCGUAGGAAUUCGCCCCAAAGUGAGGAAUAACUGCCCGAAAGGGUAGCUAAUGCCGCAUAUGGUCUUCGGAUUAAAGCCUUCGGGCGCUUUGGGAGAAGCCUGCGUUGGAUUAGGUAGUUGGUAGGGUAAUGGCCUACCAAGCCGACGAUCCAUAGCUGGUCUGAGAGGAUGAUCAGCCAGACUGGAACUGAGACACGGUCCAGACUCCUACGGGAGGCAGCAGUGAGGAAUCUUCCACAAUGGGCGAAAGCCUGAUGGAGCAACGCCGCGUGAAGGAUGAAGGCCUUCGGGUUGUAAACUUCUUUUAUGAGUGAAGAAUAUGACGGUAACUCAUGAAUAAGCACCGGCUAACUACGUG
This 502-nucleotide ribosomal RNA is filed under the name uncultured bacterium. Its description in RNAcentral is "partial 16S ribosomal RNA". It matches the Rfam family "Bacterial small subunit ribosomal RNA", at positions 28 to 507 of the family's 1533-position model. The record is from RNAcentral.